GAAUCCCAAGGCGCUUGAGAGAACUCGGGUGAAGGAACUAGGCAACAUAGCACCGUAACUUCGGGAGAAGGUGCGCCAGUAUCGUGGUGAUAUGCAUCAUUGAGCGAUAUUGGGCCGCAGUGACCAGGCCGCUGCGACUGUUUAUCAAAAACACAGCACUCUGCAAACACGUAAGUGGACGUAUAGGGUGUGACGCCUGCCCGGUGCCGGAAGGUUAAUUGAUGGGGUCAGCGCAAGCGAAGCUCUUGAUCGAAGCCCCGGUAAACGGCGGCCGUAACGAUAACGGUCCUAAGGUAGCGAAAUUCCUUGUCGGGUAAGUUCCGACCUGCACGAAUGGCGUAACGACAGCGGCGCUGUCUCCACCCGAGACUCAGUGAAAUUGAAAUCGCUGUGAAGAUGCAGCGUUCCCGCGGC
RNAcentral lists this ribosomal RNA (414 nucleotides) under uncultured bacterium. RNAcentral's name for it is "bacterial LSU rRNA". It matches the Rfam family "Bacterial large subunit ribosomal RNA", at positions 1676 to 2076 of the family's 2925-position model. The record is from RNAcentral.